GCAAAAAAGUAAGCUGUUUGGGGCAAGUUAUCUUGAUGAAGAUCUUCAUAAGGGGGAAGGCAGAGUGUGGGUUGAUUUCGAGCACUUGUAUCAUUUCUACCAACAGGUUGCUCUCGACGUCUCAAUUAUGACCUUGUGGACUGUAAUGGAGUCACACAAAUGUAGACGAUGUGGGAUUAACAAUAUAGGCUUCUUGGACCCUAGCACCGUACAUGAGAACACAGUCAAUUUACCAAGUACCGUUGACUACUUGUACAAAGAUUUCCUCUCCAUGCAGGAUAAAAGAUCCAUACUUCUUUCAUACAAUUGCUUUUAUCAUCAUGUCCUACUCGAUAUC
Molecule: long non-coding RNA, 337 nt
Organism: Panicum virgatum (switchgrass)
Lineage: Eukaryota; Viridiplantae; Streptophyta; Magnoliopsida; Poales; Poaceae
Exons: 3
Source: RefSeq, a predicted model, not a curated record